Molecule: ribosomal RNA, 891 nt
Filed under: Polypedates leucomystax (Java whipping frog)
Lineage: Eukaryota; Metazoa; Chordata; Amphibia; Anura; Rhacophoridae
Description: partial 16S ribosomal RNA
Rfam family: Bacterial large subunit ribosomal RNA
Source: RNAcentral
AGCAGCCACCUUUUAAAACGCGUCAAAGCGUAACCUUAACCCCCAAAAUUCCAUUAAUUUUCAUGAACCCCUAAUUUAUAAUGAAUGACUCCAUAUUUAUAUGGAAGACACCAUGCUAGGAUUAGUAACAAGAAUUUAUAAUUCUCCAAAAUGCAAAUAUAAACCAACAUGGAUGGACCAUUGGUAGUUACCGAACCUAAAUUUUAUGCAAUAACACCCACAAGAAAACUCUGCAGUACUUACUCGUUAACCUAACACCAGCGCAUUACAGGAAAGAUUUAAAAAAAGAGAAGGAAUUCGGCAAAUGACGGCCCCGCCUGUUUACCAAAAACAUCGCCUCUUGACUUAUAAUAAGAGGUCCAGCCUGCCCAGUGAAUUUUAAACGGCCGCGGUAUUCUAACCGCGCGAAGGUAGCAUAAUCACUUGUUCUUUAAAUGGGGACUCGUAUCAACGGCAUCACGAGGGUUUUACUGUCUCCUCUUUUUGAUCAGUGAAAUUGAUCUUCCCGUGAAGAAGCGGGAAUAAAUUUAUAAGACGAGAAGACCCCAUGGAGCUUUAAACCAAAUAACAACUUAACCACUUAUCCCAUAAUAAAUUUAAACCCUGUUAUAAGGUUUUUGGUUGGGGUGACCGCGGAGUAAAGCACAUCCUCCACGACGGAAAGAACAAAAAUCUUUAUUUAAGAACCACACUUCUAGAAAUUAGUAUACUAACGUUUACUGACCCGACAAUCGAUCAACGGACCAAGUUACCCUGGGGAUAACAGCGCAAUCUACUUCAAGAGCCCAUAUCGACAAGUAGGCUUACGACCUCGAUGUUGGAUCAGGGUAUCCCGGUGGUGCAGCCGCUACCGAAGGUUCGUUUGUUCAACGAUUAAAACCCUACGUGAUC